Molecule: long non-coding RNA, 1027 nt
Organism: Bos indicus x Bos taurus (hybrid cattle)
Lineage: Eukaryota; Metazoa; Chordata; Mammalia; Artiodactyla; Bovidae
Source: Ensembl
CGGAAUACCACCAGCUGCCAGGGAGAACGAGCUUGGAGCUAGCGGCAGGGCUUAACCCGGCGAAGCUCUGAGAUGGGUUGCUGAAGGAUUCCGGGAGGCAGCUGCAACAGGGCAUCACUCACUGUCCAGGCAUAUCCGUUUCUGAGUGCAAAAGGAAGAACUUGAGCGAGCGGCAAUUGGAGUGAAAAUUGCUUUGUAGUAUCUAAAAGCAGCAUGGAUCGUGGGCAGCUGAGCUGCAACAAAUCAACAGAAAUUCAUGUGAAAAUCAUUGACCACCAUAUGCUGCUCCAGCUUCCUUCAGCUCCUAAUUCUAGGAGCUUGACAACUAAAGCAAACCACAGACAGCCACAGGCACUCACUGCCAGCCCUGACAAAAAAAAUCACAAAAGUCACCUCACAGGGAUUUUAUGGCUUUGGAUUGAACCACGAAGUAUUGGAUAUAUUUCAUACAAAAGCACUAUGGAAUGCAACUCAGUACAAGCAAGUCAUUCACAGUUUCAGAUGAUGGUGAUGAUGAUGAUGAUGAUUUUGGUCCUAGUUCCAUUAAAGGCCAAGACAUCUCCAGAUGACUACAGAAAUACUACCUUAAUAAUAAGAAAAAACUUGUUUCAUUAAGAGACUUCUUGUAGAUUUCCCACUGAGUUUUGUUUAUGUAUCCUAUGCUGCUGCUGCUGAUGAUGCUAAGUCGCUUCAGUCGUGUCCGACUCUGUGCAACCCCAUAGAUGGCAGCCCACCAGGCUCCCCCAUUCCUGGGAUUCUCCACGCAAGAAUACUGGAGUGGGUUGCCAUUUCCUUCUCCAAUGCAUGGAAGUGAAAAGUGAAAGUGAAGUCUCUCAGUUGUGUCCGACUCUUCGCGACGCCAUGGACUGCAGCCCACCAGGCUUCUCCGUCCAUGGGAUUUUCCAGGCAAGAGUACUGGAGGGGGUUUCCACUGCCUUCUCCCAGGUCCUAUCAAAUUCAGAGUCUAUUUUCUCUUGGCAAAAGCAAGAAAAAUAAAUCAUAAUAGAGACAAAGGUAAGGAAUAUGU